GAUGAACGCUGGCGGCGUGCCUAAUACAUGCAAGUCGAGCGAACAGACGAGGAGCUUGCUCCUCUGACGUUAGCGGUGGACGGGUGAGUAACACGUGGAUAACCUACCUAUAAGACUGGGAUAACUUCGGGAAACCGGAGCUAAUACCGGAUAAUAUAUUGAACCGCAUGGUUCAAUAGUGAAAGACGGUUUUGCUGUCACUUAUAGAUGGAUCCGCGCCGCAUUAGCUAGUUGGUAAGGUAACGGCUUACCAAGGCAACGAUGCGUAGCCGACCUGAGAGGGUGAUCGGCCACACUGGAACUGAGACACGGUCCAGACUCCUACGGGAGGCAGCAGUAGGGAAUCUUCCGCAAUGGGCGAAAGCCUGACGGAGCAACGCCGCGUGAGUGAUGAAGGUCUUCGGAUCGUAAAACUCUGUUAUUAGGGAAGAACAAAUGUGUAAGUAACUAUGCACGUCUUGACGGUACCUAAUCAGCAAGCCACGGCUAACUACGUG
Molecule: ribosomal RNA, 497 nt
Filed under: uncultured bacterium
Lineage: Bacteria
Description: partial 16S ribosomal RNA
Rfam family: Bacterial small subunit ribosomal RNA
Source: RNAcentral